This 979-nucleotide ribosomal RNA is filed under the name human gut metagenome. Its description in RNAcentral is "bacterial LSU rRNA". It matches the Rfam family "Bacterial large subunit ribosomal RNA", at positions 1942 to 2925 of the family's 2925-position model. The record is from RNAcentral.
AUAACGGUCCUAAGGUAGCGAAAUUCCUUGUCGGGUAAGUUCCGACCCGCACGAAAGGCGUAAUGAUUUGGGCACUGUCUCAACAACACACCCGGUGAAAUUGAAAUACCAGUGAAGAUGCUGGUUACCUGCGCCAGGACGGAAAGACCCCAUGGAGCUUUACUCCAGCUUGAUACUGGGAUUCGGUACUACCUGUACAGGAUAGGUGGGAGGCUUCGAUCACGGGACGCCAGUUUCGUGUGAGCCGCUGUUGGGAUACCACCCUUGUAGUACUGGAUUCCUAACCUACAGCCGUGAACCGGCUGGGGGACAAUGUCUGGCGGGGAGUUUGACUGGGGCGGUCGCCUCCGAAAGGGUAUCGGAGGCGCUCAAAGGUUCCCUCAGAAUGGUUGGAAACCAUUCGAAGAGUGCAAAGGCAGAAGGGAGCUUGACUGCGACACCGACGGGUGGAGCAGGUACGAAAGUAGGACUUAGUGAUCCGGUGGUAUAAAGUGGGAUUGCCAUCGCUCAACGGAUAAAAGCUACCCUGGGGAUAACAGGCUUAUCACUCCCAAGAGUUCACAUCGACGGAGUGGUUUGGCACCUCGAUGUCGGCUCAUCGCAUCCUGGGGCUGUAGUAGGUCCCAAGGGUUGGGCUGUUCGCCCAUUAAAGCGGUACGCGAGCUGGGUUCAGAACGUCGUGAGACAGUUCGGUCCCUAUCCGGCGUGGGCGUAGGAUAUUUGAGAGGAGCUGUCCUUAGUACGAGAGGACCGGGAUGGACGGACCGCUGGUGUAUCUGUUGUUGUACCAACAGCAUGGCAGAGUAGCCAAGUCCGGCAGGGAUAAACGCUGAAGGCAUCUAAGCGUGAAGCCCCCCUCAAGAUAAGAUAUCCCAUCAUAAGAGUAAGACCCCUUGAAGACUACAAGGUUGAUAGGCUUGGAGUGUAAUCGUGGCAACACGUUCAGCUGACAAGUACUAAUAGGUCGAGGGCUUAUCCU